This 230-nucleotide long non-coding RNA is filed under the name Bos indicus x Bos taurus (hybrid cattle). RNAcentral's name for it is "SOX2 overlapping transcript exon 1 (ENSBIXG00000003901.1)". It matches the Rfam family "SOX2 overlapping transcript exon 1". From Rfam's summary of the family: SOX2 overlapping transcript (SOX2OT) is a long non-coding RNA, containing at least 5 exons. The SOX2 gene, an important regulator of neurogenesis, lies within one of the introns of SOX2OT. SOX2OT and SOX2DOT (an isoform of SOXOT transcribed from a distal highly conserved element) are expressed in zones of neurogenesis within the brain. The record is from RNAcentral. Lineage: Eukaryota; Metazoa; Chordata; Mammalia; Artiodactyla; Bovidae.
ACAGCUUUGGACAAAAGUCUAUAGCCAGUGCAUUUGAAACUCCCCUUGCACAAGGGCUGACUGUAGCUGGGGAAAGACAGUUUACUCAUUUGCUCUCUCCUUUCAUACAGUUAGCUGGCCCUCUUCUCAGGUGUAGAUCACGUAUUAUCAUUUCACCUGUUUUUGAUUCUCUGAUGAGGCAAGUCCCAGGACUUAUCAGCAGGGAUAGGCCUCAUUGCCAAGACAGCUCU